Non-coding RNA from Gossypium raimondii (Peruvian cotton), 151 nucleotides. Lineage: Eukaryota; Viridiplantae; Streptophyta; Magnoliopsida; Malvales; Malvaceae. The record is from Rfam.
UGUUAAAAAUUUCAUCCAUUUCUACUGUUAAAAACUGAUGUAAUUGACGAAAUAGCCAGAAAGUUACACAUGACAUGAUACAUAUAUGAUAUACCUCAUGUUAACGUACAUGGAUUAAUUUUAACAGUAGAAAUUGAUGAAAUAUCUAAUA